AUUGAACGCUGGCGGCAUGCCUUACACAUGCAAGUCGAACGGCAGCACGGGAGCAAUCCUGGUGGCGAGUGGCGAACGGGUGAGUAAUGUAUCGGAACGUGCCCAGUCGUGGGGGAUAACGCAGCGAAAGCUGUGCUAAUACCGCAUACGAUCUAUGGAUGAAAGCGGGGGAUCGCAAGACCUCGCGCGAUAGGAGUGGCCGAUAUCAGAUUAGCUAGUUGGUGGGGUAAAAGCUUACCAAGGCGACGACCUGUAGCUGGUCUGAGAGGACGACCAGCCACACUGGAACUGAGACACGGUCCAGACUCCUACGGGAGGCAGCAGUGGGGAAUUUUGGACAAUGGGCGCAAGCCUGAUCCAGCAAUGCCGCGCGCAGGAUGAAGGCCUUCGGGUUGUAAACUGCUUUUGUACGGAGCGAAAAGGCUCUCUCUAAUACAGGAGGCUCAUGACGGUACCGUAAGAAUAAGCACCGGCUAACUACGUGCCAGCAGCCGCAGUAA
This 500-nucleotide ribosomal RNA is filed under the name uncultured bacterium. RNAcentral describes it as "partial 16S ribosomal RNA". It matches the Rfam family "Bacterial small subunit ribosomal RNA", at positions 30 to 523 of the family's 1533-position model. The record is from RNAcentral.